RNAcentral lists this ribosomal RNA (450 nucleotides) under uncultured bacterium. Its description in RNAcentral is "bacterial SSU rRNA". It matches the Rfam family "Bacterial small subunit ribosomal RNA", at positions 354 to 796 of the family's 1533-position model. The record is from RNAcentral.
GUGGGGAAUUUUGGACAAUGGGCGCAAGCCUGAUCCAGCAAUGCCGCGUGAGUGAAGAAGGCCUUCGGGUUGUAAAGCUCUUUCAGUUGAGAAGAAAAGAUUGUGACUAAUAAUUGCAAUUCAUGACGGUAUCAACAGAAGAAGCACCGGCUAACUACGUGCCAGCAGCCGCGGUAAUACGUAGGGUGCGAGCGUUAAUCGGAAUUACUGGGCGUAAAGGGUGCGCAGGCGGUUCUGUAAGUCAGAUGUGAAAUCCCCGGGCUUAACCUGGGAACUGCGUUUGAAACUACAGAGCUAGAGUGUGGCAGAGGGGGGUGGAAUUCCAUGUGUAGCAGUGAAAUGCGUAGAGAUAUGGAAGAACAUCGAUGGCGAAGGCAGCCCCCUGGGUCAACACUGACGCUCAUGCACGAAAGCGUGGGGAGCAAACAGGAUUAGAAACCCCAGUAGUCC